This 71-nucleotide transfer RNA is filed under the name Ameiurus melas (black bullhead). It matches the Rfam family "tRNA". From Rfam's summary of the family: Transfer RNA (tRNA) molecules are approximately 80 nucleotides in length. Their secondary structure includes four short double-helical elements and three loops (D, anti-codon, and T loops). Further hydrogen bonds mediate the characteristic L-shaped molecular structure. tRNAs have two regions of fundamental functional importance: the anti-codon, which is responsible for specific mRNA codon recognition, and the 3' end, to which the tRNAs corresponding amino acid is attached (by aminoacyl-tRNA synthetases). tRNAs cope with the degeneracy of the genetic code in two manners: having more than one tRNA (with a specific anti-codon) for a particular amino acid; and 'wobble' base-pairing, i.e. permitting non-standard base-pairing at the 3rd anti-codon position. Lineage: Eukaryota; Metazoa; Chordata; Actinopteri; Siluriformes; Ictaluridae. The record is from Rfam by way of RNAcentral.
GCAUUGGUGGUAUAGUGGUGAGCAUAGCUGCUUUCCAAGCAGUUGACCCGGUUCGAUUCCCGGCCAAUGCA